UGAGGAAUAUUGGGCAAUGCCCGCAAGGGUGACCCAGCAACGCCGCGUGGAGGAUGAAUGUCGUAAGAUUGUAAACUCCUGUUAGAGGGGAAGAAUAGUACCGGUUGGACCGGUAUAUGACUGUACCCUCAGAGAAAGCCCCGGCUAACUACGUGCCAGCAGCCGCGGUAAUACGUAGGGGGCAAGCGUUGUCCGGAUUUACUGGGUGUAAAGGGCGCGCAGGCGGGAUAAAAAGUCAGUGGUGAAAUCCUACAGCUUAACUGUAGAACUGCCUUUGAUACUUUUAUUCUUGAGUUCGGGAGAGAGAGACGGAAUUCCAGGUGUAGUGGCGAAAUACGUAGAUAUCUGGAAGAACACCAGUUGCGAAGGCGGUCUCUUGGUCCGACACUGACGCUGAGGCGCGAAAGCGUGGGGAGCAAACA
This 422-nucleotide ribosomal RNA is filed under the name uncultured bacterium. RNAcentral's name for it is "bacterial SSU rRNA". It matches the Rfam family "Bacterial small subunit ribosomal RNA", at positions 355 to 774 of the family's 1533-position model. The record is from RNAcentral.